GACUUGCCUUUCACCUUCCACCAUGAUUGUGAGCCUUCCCCAGCCACGUGAAACUGAUAUGGACAUGAUGCCUGGAGGAACAACUGACAUAUUUCAACUGUGAGAAUGAAAAUCAUGCAAUAGAGAUGUGGAACAGAAAGCUAGAAGAAUAAUUCACUCAACAAAUAAAACUUUUUACUAAUUUAAGCCA
Molecule: long non-coding RNA, 190 nt
Organism: Homo sapiens (human)
Lineage: Eukaryota; Metazoa; Chordata; Mammalia; Primates; Hominidae
Exons: 2
Source: RefSeq, a predicted model, not a curated record